Molecule: long non-coding RNA, 1951 nt
Organism: Rhea pennata
Lineage: Eukaryota; Metazoa; Chordata; Aves; Rheiformes; Rheidae
Exons: 4
Source: RefSeq, a predicted model, not a curated record
CGCGGGGGGAGGGGCGGCUGCCGCCGCUGAGGGGCGGCGGCGGGAGCGCGGGCCUCGCACCCGCUUUUCCUUCAAUUUUUCCUUUUUUUUUAAAUUUUAAUUUAGUGCGGGCAGGGCCCGGGCCGCUGAGGGGAAGGGCGCGCGGUCGGGGAAGGACUGGAGGGCGGAAAAACCCGCGCGAGUCGCUCGAAGCGCUGGCAAAAAGGCGAGAACCGCUGGGAAACCGCCUGGCUCCUCGGAGUGUUUCGCGUGUGGCGUGUUUCCUUUCCCCUCUUUUUUUUUUUCCUCCCCCCCCCCUUUCUUAUUUCGUUCUGUUUUACCCGUGUCGGGGGUGGAUAAACUGUAGCACAGUUGACAAGCGAGCACCAACUCGGUGGGAGUGCUUGUGAGCUGGGAGAGAGGUCGAGCUGGAUCCCGCUCAAGGUAAAAACAAACGCAACUUGUAGCUGGGAUCGUAUUUUGCAACAGGCCAAUGUUUUUGUGCGGGUUUAGGGCCUCUUGUGAUUUAGCUGCUGGAGCCCUUGGGUUUCUGUCUUGUGGCAUGUUUGCUCUUGGACGAGUCAUUUUGCUUGUUGUUCUCUGGCACUGGCUUCACAGAACAAAAAUUAGUGCAAUCGCUGUGAAACGUGAAGUUUGCAAAGCGUUUAGGGCUUCUGGAUUAGAGUGAGUUUUACUUUUGCUCUGACAUGAGUUUUAUUUUUUGCUCUAUUAAAUUCUUCUUUCCAGGUCUGAACAAAAAGCAGUGGCCCUUGGUUUGAGGCUUCACUGAGGAAGGUUUAGUCUGGAGGCUUUAACGGCACAGGCAAAGACCUUUGGAAAAGAGCUUUUAUCAAGGAAACCAAGUAUCUGUAAGAAUUAACUAAGCCAACAUCCAUUAAAAAAAGUUUCUGAGAAUACAGAAAUGUGUUCCUCUUCGUUUCCUCCCAAGUGAGAACGAGUUCUCCUCAGAGUAUCAUCUAUACACACACUUCUUGUCAUCUCUACCUCAUGUUUCUUAAGAAAUGACCUGCUUUAGUUUAUGUGGUGUUCCUGAGUAAAGACUUUGAUGGCUUGAUUCAGGAGAGAGUACAAUUCUUUCAGACUUAAAUUCAAGCAGAAAAUCGAUCUUACAGUAAAGCUCCAGAACUGAGCGGUACUAUAGAGCAAAAAGACUCCCUGUACUCCUCCAAACACUUCUUGACUGCAGACAGAAUGAUGGAAUCUAGGUUUCAUUGCUGAGUCUUGAACCUUAGAGACAAUACAAAGAAACACAAGUAUGUCAGAAUGGUACUUUGAAGUCUGCGGGUCAAGAGGCUAAAAUCCAUCCUUCACGCCCACAACAUCUAAGGAUGCUGUGAUGGGUGAGGAGAAAACUGUGCCAAGACUGGACACAGCAAAUCUCACAAGGGUUUUCAAACUAAAAAAUGACAGCGUAGACAGAAAAGAUCUGAAAAGAAAAAGAGGGAAGAGGGGAAGAUUUCUUGUUGUUAAUCAUUAUCUGUAUUGAGUGCAGUACUACUGUUCUGGAUAUUGGAAAAUAAAAAAUGUUAUUUGCUUUUGUCAUAUUUAAAAUGAAAAGCCCAGGACUGACUGAUAACUAUUAAAUAUUGAAUAUUUUAAAAGGAUUUUUCAUUUCCCAAACAUAAACUUUGAAAUGAAACUGGCUGGUUAGGCCCUAUAUCUUGGUGUAUGUGUGCAUAUAUAUCUGUACAUAUGAUUAUAAACAUAAUUAUGUCUAUAUAAUCUUUAUUUUAUACACACACUUGUAUACACAUGCACACAAGUAUGACUUGGUUUUUCCUCAUACAGAGCAUCUAUUCCUAUUUCUGUUUAAGCUAAAUUUAGGACUGGGUAAAUGGAAACACUUUUUCUAUACAGAAAUGCUAUUACAAAAAUAACAGAUUUAAUCAAAUUGGCUCCACAGAAUAUUCACAACUUGCCCUCUUGUGUGCUGGAAUUCAGCGUUGUACAA